Molecule: small RNA, 28 nt
Filed under: Bombyx mori (domestic silkworm)
Lineage: Eukaryota; Metazoa; Arthropoda; Insecta; Lepidoptera; Bombycidae
Description: ovarian small RNA-9514
Source: RNAcentral
UUCAGCAUGAGCAGCAUCUGCGCCAAGU